This 436-nucleotide ribosomal RNA is filed under the name uncultured bacterium. RNAcentral describes it as "bacterial SSU rRNA". It matches the Rfam family "Bacterial small subunit ribosomal RNA", at positions 28 to 482 of the family's 1533-position model. The record is from RNAcentral.
GACGAACGCUGGCGGCGUGCUUAACACAUGCAAGUCGAACGGAAAGGCCCCUUGUGGGGUACUCGAGUGGCGAACGGGUGAGUAACACGUGAGUAACCUACCCUUGACUUUGGGAUAACCCCAGGAAACUGGGGCUAAUACCGGAUAGGAGCUCCUGCUGCAUGGUGGGGUUGGAAAGUUUCGGCGGUUGGGGAUGGACUCGCGGCUUAUCAGCUUGUUGGUGGGGUAGUGGCUCACCAAGGCUUUGACGGGUAGCCGGCCUGAGAGGGUGACCGGCCACAUUGGGACUGAGAUACGGCCCAGACCCCUACGGGAGGCAGCAGUGGGGAAUAUUGCACAAUGGGCGGAAGCCUGAUGCAGCAACGCCGCGUGCGGGAUGACGGCCUCGGGUUGUAACGACUUCGCCUCGUGCGAAGACGUGAGUGACGGUAAUGGG